Small nucleolar RNA from Mangifera indica (mango), 107 nucleotides. The record is from RefSeq and is a predicted model, not a curated record. Lineage: Eukaryota; Viridiplantae; Streptophyta; Magnoliopsida; Sapindales; Anacardiaceae.
AUUUGGUGAUGUGGAUAACUUGCACAUAGUUUUUUAAAACGCUCCCAAUAUUCAUAUAAAGACUUUCUACCAUGCUGCCUAAUACCACAGAUUUCUUUUCUUAUACU